GCCACGGUAGCUCAGUCGGUAGAGCAGCGGACUGAAAAUCCGCGUGUCGGCGGUUCGAUUCCGCCCUGUGGCACCA
This 76-nucleotide transfer RNA is filed under the name Nitrospinota bacterium. RNAcentral describes it as "tRNA-Phe". It matches the Rfam family "tRNA". Rfam says of the family: Transfer RNA (tRNA) molecules are approximately 80 nucleotides in length. The record is from RNAcentral. Lineage: Bacteria; Pseudomonadati; Nitrospinota.